RNAcentral lists this small nucleolar RNA (104 nucleotides) under Phaeomoniella chlamydospora. RNAcentral describes it as "A. fumigatus snoRNA Afu_514". It matches the Rfam family "A. fumigatus snoRNA Afu_514". Lineage: Eukaryota; Fungi; Ascomycota; Eurotiomycetes; Phaeomoniellales; Phaeomoniellaceae. The record is from Rfam by way of RNAcentral.
CUACAUGAUGCUAUAAUUUGCGAUUGACCUUACAUCGUGGAACUCUCGCCGGAGUAUCUAUACGAUGUUGAGGAGGUGAUAUUUCUUUCUUACAUAUUCUGACC